UAAAAAGAACAAAUUAAAAGAAGAUAAGCGAUUCCCAUUUUAAGUCUCUUUCAUUUUUCUCUCUACCUCCCAAGGGCUUCAACCUCUUAAAUCUGUCAUUUUCGGGUGGCUCGCUUUUGCCCCUUUGGGUGGGGGAAGGUCAACCUCCUUGCCGGUUGUAGGUUUUCCUCGCCAUAUCCGGUGGGGUGUAUAUAUUUGUUUUUGGGGUUGUUGUUUGUUAAUAAGCAAUUCUUAGCGUGAGGGUUUAGUUUUGGCCUAUUUUAGACGUUAUGUUUUUAUGUUAUUGUUGCUGAUAUGAGGCAUUUGAUGGCGGAUCUAGUGAUUAUUGAGUAAUUUUUGUUGGAUCUGCCUAUUAUUGUGAUUGCAUGCAGGUGAGUUGCCAUAGUUGUGAUCUUUAAUUGAGCCUUUUGCUCAAUAAAGAACUCUAUUUUAGCCACACCAAUGUGAGGAUUUUGUGAGAUUGGUGGCAGCUCGUAGAAUAGCCUAUGGUUUCCUUCCCAAAAGGCACGAGUGAGAUGCCAAAAACGCCAGUUCCUGCUCAACUCAUGGGUUGCUAAGGCCUUUGUUAUUUGGUGUUUCGCCUAAUGCGGCCUAGGCUUUACGUCAAAUUGUUUAAAUCUCCCAUCGACGAAAGUUGAAAGUUGUGGUGUUCCUUUGUUUCUCGUCUGAUGCAGUGCUGUGAUUUAAAUGAUGCCUAUUUUUGGGUUUUGGGCGGGUUACUUGCCCCAGUAAAGUCUUUUACAAGUGGGCCAGGGCCUUAUUGAGUGUGCUGAGAUUCUGAUUAGCUAGGCUUAUUUUUUAGAAUUGGGGGCCUUUUAUGUAAUGGUUUCAUUGGGUUUGGCUUUUAAA
Hevea brasiliensis (rubber tree) is the source of this 849-nucleotide long non-coding RNA. RefSeq lists it as uncharacterized. The record is from RefSeq and is a predicted model, not a curated record. NCBI's taxonomy places the organism in Eukaryota, Viridiplantae, Streptophyta, Magnoliopsida, Malpighiales, Euphorbiaceae. The transcript is spliced from 2 exons.